RNAcentral lists this long non-coding RNA (6671 nucleotides) under Populus tremula. RNAcentral describes it as "long non-coding RNA (PTRE_LNC003313)". The record is from RNAcentral. Lineage: Eukaryota; Viridiplantae; Streptophyta; Magnoliopsida; Malpighiales; Salicaceae.
GAGAACCCAGCUCGCCGGACCGCAUCGAAGCCUCCACCAGCAGCCCUUCGGUCACACCGCCGAGUGCCUGAAACAGAGAAGGGUGGGCAAGCAAAAGACCAGAACAGAUCGGCAGAGAAAAAAUUAAAAUCGAUGAAGAAGACCCAAAAACAGAUCUGAAAAACUAAGAAAAAAUUAAAAUCAACUGCUUUGUUUGCGUUUUUUGUGCGUUUGCAGGUGACGGUGGGUGUCACCACCGGAAGGGAAGAGAAGAGGAGGAGAAAACAAGGCAGAUCCGCCUGUUUCCGGCAUGGUCGGCGGCGCGUGGAACCACGCGCCGCCAGUGGCGGUGGGCGUGAGUUCCACGCGCCGCCACUGUUCCUGGUGUCCAUGGCUUCACAGAAACGUUCCCAGCAAAUUCCUGGAGUUUUUGAAUGGUUGUUUUGUAAUUUUAGAAUUUGUUUAAUGUAAUUUUUUUGUUUAAUGUAAUUUUUGUUUAGUUUUGAGUUUUUGUAAUUUGUAUUUUGUAAAUAUCCAAGGAAGAAAAAGAAGAAAAGAAACAAAAAAUAUAGUAAAGUGAAUGUGGGUGUUUGUAUUUUGUUUUAUUUAUUUGUUAUAUAUUUUUAAUGAUAAAAUUGCAAAAUAUUAAAGAAGAAUUUAAUAUUUUGAUUGGAUCACGGUUAAGAAUUAUUAACUUAUACGUAAGUGAUAUUUCUAAUUCCGAUGAAAAGACAAUUUUAAAACUUCUUUAACACAUCAAAUUCGCGAAGCAGCUUACCUCAGGUAGGGUGCGUUAGGGGUGCUAAUACCUUCCCUAACCACAACCAGUCCCUUACCCGCGAAUCUCUAACGAGACCAGUACAUCCGGUUUCCUAGUAGCUCACAAUCAAUUACUAGGUGGCGACUCCAACGAACCAAAUUCAAGCAAAUGCAAAAGACGAGAAAAAUUGCCAGCCGAUGCCGCGCGCUGAUUUUUUUGGGGUGCGACAGAAUGGCGACUCCACUGGGAAAGGUAUUGUUUCUGACAUUAUUGGACUAAGCUUUGUGUAUUUGAUGUGUUUAAGUUUUUUGCAUUUUUAUCUUUUUGUUAAUAUUUUUUCCAUGCAUUUUAUAGAAUUGUUCAUGCAUCACCUGUAUUUAUUUUAAAGCACACACAAGCUUCUAGGUUAGGUGGGGAACUAGCGAUCUGCCCUAAGACUAUUGGUCAGGGUUCAGAUGCGUGAAACACCCAACUCAUAUCUGAGUGCCUGCUUGGUAAUGGUGGGUAUACGUGCCUUAACCAUUUCUUGCAACACCCCCAUAUUGUCCUUACGAAGAACGUCACUGGGCAGAUAUGAGACCCUUUUGAGACCAGAUAGAAAACUUACCCAUGUUCACAUAAUAAAUAGAACAUGUCCUUAGGUUAUAUGUGCUAUUGUUAUUUGCAUAAGGACAAACCCUUCUUGAAGCAUCUUGAACUCAAGACUUGUGGGUGACACAUUGGCCUUCACUCCGAAAAUUUUCAUUGUAGAGUUUGGGCAAAAAUCACGAUUCUUGCUCCAUCAUACAAGAGUUACGACCAUAUUGUCACCUCUCGAAGGGUGAGUUCAUCAUAUAGAUUACAUGUUUAUACAUUUGUCAUGCAUGCACCAGAAUGAAAAGUAGGUCCCCUACGAGUCUACAACACCCGACUUUGAAUGAAGAAAAACUCUGAAGAUGAAGAAUAUGCUCGUCGUAAUUUUUGAAGACAUGUGUGACUUGCUUCUAGCUUACUCGAGUAGAUACUGAAAAAUAACUCUAGGAAAGUUCCUUCCAACCGACCUAUCAUCUUUGUUCAAAACCCAACAAUGACUCAGCCCGAAGAAAUUGGGGGCAAAAUUUGUCAAGAGCCUCGGUGCAAUCAUGUAUUUUCUGCAAAAAGCUUUGGUGGGAAGGCUGACCGAAGGGAAUUACACUACCGGUGCAUAAUGGAGCCUAUUAUUGUUAUGCAAAAAAAAAAAAAACCUCUGUUUGAUCAUGCCUGCAAAACUUCUUGAUUUUUAUUUCAACAUGUUCCAAUUUUUUGUUGGCAACUUAGCUUAAAAUUCCACAACACUUUCCUUGUCAAAUCAGCCUUUAUUGUUAAUAAGAUCAUGUGCUUAUAACAUACCUUCAUUUUUGUUGUUGUUUCAUACAAAGAACAUAUUGAGCAUAACCUUUAAGCAUGAAACCAUCACAAAGAAUCUUUGGGGUGUGUUUCCCUUUCUUUCAAAACUAUGCAUAAUCGCACAUGUUCACAAGGAUUUUUGGGAAUUCAAAGUUUAGUACAGAAACUGAAAUCAUGUUGAUGUUUGUCCAAAACAAACGAGUUCUGGAAAUUCAGGUGAUUCCUUAGAAAGGUAACUAUACACUUAGAAAACCUGAAAAAAAAAAAAAAACACCUUGAAGUGACUCCAAAAGCUGAGUUUUAUUUGAAUGAAUAAUGAGAAAUCACAUUGUAUACUCACAUGAAAGCAAAGCUUACCGAUCCUAAAUGCAUGAGUUUGAAAUGAAGAAAGGCCAUCUUUGAUAAUCUUUUCACGUGGCUAAAAUAUAUCAUUUGCAUUCCCUUUUUGAGCCUAAUGCUUUUCUUGAGAUAAAUAACCUUGGCUAGGAUCACACCCCAUACUGGGGGCAAGUGCGAUGACAUAGAAAAAACCUUAAUGAUUGAAAAUGCCCAAGCAACACUAGGGGGCAUAAAAGAAAAUUCUCAAUCAUCAAAGGUGCCCGAACAAAUCUAGAGGGGCAUGAAGAAAAAAUCCAAAGGAUCAAGAGUUUUGAGCAUAAAAAAAAAAAACAAUAUAAUGAUGCUCAAAACCAUAUGAAGAAAACAAAAACAAAAGGAACAAGCCCAAGCCCAACACUAGGGGGCACGAAAGACAAUUUUUGAAAGACAGUCAAAAGAUAAAAGGUCAAGAAACAAGCACAAGCGAUCCUUAGUCUCCAAAUCCCUUAAACACUUUUUGAGCUUGUAAAUAUCCUUUUUCUUCAUAACCAAGAACCCAAGCCUACAUUACGAGCCUAAUCAAGCCCGUUCUGAUCAAAGGCAAGCAAUCUGGAUCGGUAGGCAAUGCUUUCUCAUGUGAACCAAAUCAUUGUUCAUGCAAAUAAAAUAAAUGCUUUGAACCUCGGUUCUCAAUAACCCUCAAAUUGAAAUGUAAACCUUUUUUGACAAACCAGAUGUCACUUCAUAUUUCUUUACCAAAAGCCAAAACAAAAAAAAAAAAGUUUUCAUCACUUCUGAAAGCCUCUCCAUAGGAAUCACUUGAAUUUUUUAGAAUGAGUUUGCUUUGAAUCGAUGUCAAAAUAAUUUCUGUGCCUGGAAUCAUCUAACCUCAACAAAAAAAAAACAAAAAACAAAAAAAAUAUUUGCACAUAUUUUUUAAUUGUUACAGGAAAAUCCUUAAUGAGGUCCAGCAAGAUGGUGGAAAAAGAAAGAAACAUUGUGGUGAUGAUAAUAAAGAAUCGGUUUUGAUCAUGGAAUAAAAGGACGAUGGGAUGAACCCUACAAUUAGGAAAAUCCCAAAGAAAUAAAUAGAUCAACCUUGCAAUCGGGGAACCUCGAGUUUUCAACCCUUGUAGUCAGGAAACACCGAGUUUUCAAACCCUAUGAUCGGGGAUUAUCAGGAAGCACCAGGUUUUCCAGCCCAUCUUCUGUCAUCCCCUCAGGACUUCGCUAGGUCAGUCCUAUUUUUCACACUUGUCAUAUCACAUCUUCCAUGUGGGUUGGUCACCCAUGACAAUGAAACCGCGCUUUUCACAUUUUUUCCAUCCGGGUAGGUCACCCAUGUCAAUGAGACCGCCCUUCAUCAUAUUUUUUCCAUCUGGGUAGGUCACCCAUUACAAUGAGACCACACUUCAUAUUUUUUCCAUUUUUGGGUAGGUCACCCAUUAUAAUGAGACCGCACUUCACAUUCUUUCUAUUUUGGGUAGGUCGCCCAUCACAACGAGACCACUUCAUCAUAUUUUGUCCAUCUAGGUAGGUCACCCAUUACAAUGAGACCACACUUCAUAUUUUUUCCCCCUGGGUAGGUCACCCAUAAGAAUGAGACCACUCUUCCUCUUUUCCAUCUGGGUAGGUCACCCAUCACAAUGAGACCACCAUUUUUUUCCCUAGGUAGGUCACCCAUUAUAAUGAGACCACUUUUUACACAUUCUUUUGUUCUAGUUGAAUGAGGUCGCCAGAUGGGAUCUCAUGUAGCUUUGGUUAAAGGGAAUCGCCAGAUGGGGUUUCAGGUUGACCGAGCUACACACAUUGCUUGGUUAUGGUUAAAGGGGAUCGGCGAAGGGAUCUCAGUUUAACCUAAUUGGAAAGGAUUUUGGUUCUGGUUGAAGGGGAUCGGCGAAGGGAUCUCAGUUCAAUCUAACCACACAGACCUUGGUUAUGGUUAAAGGGGACCGGCGAAGGAAUCUCAGUUUAACCUAAUUGGAAAGGAUCUUGGUUCUGGUUGAAGGGGAUCGACGAAGGGAUCUCAGUUCAGUCUAACUACACAUUCCUUGGUUAUGGUUAAAGGGGAUCGACAAAGGGAUCUCAGUUUAACCUAAUUGGAAAGGAUUUUGGUUCUGGUUGAAGGGGAUCGACGAAGGGAUCUCAGUUCAGUCUAACCACACAGACGGCUCUGGUUAAAGGGAAUCACUAGAUGGGAUUUCAGGUUAACCGAGUUACACACCGAUUUUUGUUCUUGUUAGAUCGCCAGAUGGGAUCUCAGGUAAACCCAAUAAAAAGGGCAGGUCGCCCGUGAAAAUAGACUAGUGUGAGUGUGUGGGCCGGUCGCCCUUGAAAAUAGACCAGUGUGAGUGUGUGGGUAGGUCGCCCCUGAAAAUAGACCACUUUGAGUAUGUGUGGGCAGGUCGCCCGUGAAAACAGACCAGUGUGAGAGUGUGGGUCGGUCGCCCCUUCGCCCGUGAAAAUAGACCAGUGUGAGUGUGUGGGUCGGUCGCCCCUGAAAAUAGACCACUUUGAGUAUGUGUGGGCAGGUCGCCCGUGAAAACAGACCAGUGUGAGAGUGUGGGUCGGUCGCCCUUCGCCCGUGAAAAUAGACCAGUGUGAGUGUGUGGGCCGGUCGCCCCUGAAAAUAGACCACUUUGAGUAUGUGUGGGCAGGUCGCCCGUGAAAAUAGACCAGUGUGAGUGUGUGGGCAAGUCGCCCAAGAUAAUGAAAUCAUUUUUCUUUCGUUUUCUUUACAAAGCUUACUAUGCAAAACAUCGAGGAUUUUUGCUUCGUAAGCAUUGUAAAGAGGGGGCAUCUGUUGCUACCCAUUUUUUGACCCAUGUUUUUUAUAUAUUUUCAAAAAAUUCCAAAAAUAGAGAAAAACAAAGAAAAUCCAAAAAAAUAUGUUUUUAAUAUAUUUUCGUCAUUUUAGCAUUUUCAGCGUCGUCUAGAAAAAAAGAAUUUAAAUUUCUUAAAAAAAAAGAUUUUCAAACGCGUUCAACUUUUCACGCGUUAUUUUUAAAAUCAUUGAUUUUCCUCGUUGAGUCGACGUUGAUAUUGCUCGUUUUCAAAAAAUACAAAAAAAUAAAAAAAAUCAAAAUUUACAAAAAGAAAGAAGUUGAGGGACCAAGUUGAAAAACUUGGCAACAUUUUUUGCCUAUAAAUACUGGUUUCCAACACUUGCAAAAGGAGGAGGGGGGCUAAUUUUGGAAAUAUAAAAAAUACAAAAAAAUCUCUAACCCUAAGCUUUUCUUUUUUAAAAGGGUGCAGCCCCCCUCCCUUUUUUUUCUGAAAAAAACCGCCGCCCCCAUCUUUUCUUCAUCAGAGCCCCACAUUUGAACCAGGCCGGUCCAACCAUCUCCUUCUCCCUUUCAAACCAAAAACCAGCAGCCGUCUCCCUACCGCUGGCCAUUUUGUUUCCUCCCGGCCACCUCACUCUCUCGUCUCUCAGCUGAUCCCUCCUUCCUUUUUUCCUACAAACACAACCGAACCAGCCCCCUCCCCCCGGAUUUGAUUUUUUUUGCUACCACAGCCACCCCCUGAUUUUUCAGCUCUCCAUCAUCUCCCCUGCACCACAAAGCAGCCCCAUUCCCACACAAAACCAACCAGCUCAAUCCCAGCCGGCCCCUGCCUCUCCUGGCCGCUCACGGAGCCAUCCCCACCGGCCACAGACCACCCAACAGCAACCCUUUCUCAGCCUCUGCCACCGAUUUGUUUUUCAUUCCCUCAGCACCGUCCAUCGACAGUAACGGAGAAGCAGCUCCACAGAACCGGAGAUCCACCACCAGCUUGGGGGACGCCGUCCUCACCAUCCCAGCAGGAGUCCCUUUCACAGGCUUCCCCUAUCAGAGAACCCAGCUCGCCGGACCGCAUCGAAGCCUCCACCAGCAGCCCUUCGGUCACACCGCCGAGUGCCUGAAACAGAGAAGGGUGGGCAAGCAAAAGACCAGAACAGAUCGACGGAGAAGGAAGCAGACCCGAACCAAUGAAGAAGACCCAAAAACAGAUCUGAAAAACUAAGAAAAAAUUAAAAUCAACUGCUUUGUUUGCAUUUUUUGUGCGUUUGCAGGUGACGGUGGGUGUCACCACCGGAAGGGAAGAGAAGAGGAGGAGAAAACAGGGCAGAUCCGCCUGUUUCCGGCAUGGUCGGCGGCGCGUGGAACCACGCGCCGCCAGUGGCGGUGGGCGUGAGUUCCACGCGCCGCCACUGUUCCUGGUGUCCAUGGCUUCACAGAAACGUUCCCAGCAAAUUCCUGGAGUUUUU